CAUGGAUUGAAAGAAGAAAGAAAGAAAGAAAGAAAGAAAGAAAAUAGAAAACAACCAUCUUGUAAGAAAAGAAGGACACACACUCAAGUCGCCAACAGUAAUUAAGACAGAAUUGCGUCGAAAAACGGAGAAUCUCUUAGAAAACAACAACAAAAUUGUGCGAUUCAAUCUGCUUUCAGAAUGUGAAAUAUCUUAUCAUUGUGGUUGACGCUCUCAUGCACAGAAACAAGUCCAAUGCGAUGUUGAAAACAAAAAGACAAAAACAGAAACGCAUUGAUUCCUUUGUUUGACAAAACCACUUUGAAAAUAGACAUGUUCUGUGAUGAUUGUGGACUGAUGUUCCAUUAAAAAUUGCUUUGUGUCUCAUGCGACGACGACAACGAUGAUAAUGCUAUCAAAGUCUCAGCUAGAGUCAACUUUAAUGUCAUUAUUGUGUUCUUAUUUUGUCUUCCUUGUCGGUGAUUUUUCGGAUCGAUUCAAUCGAAACUGAAGUAACCCGAAAAGUCAGUAUCUGAAUGCAAAAUCGGGUGAUUCAAAUGCACUUAUGGACGUUGUGCCCCAAUGCACAAUGAUAAAAUGGAAAAAAUGUGCGGAGAAAACGAAUCGAAGUAGAAAAACCGAGGAAACAAUAACGCAAUGAAAUCAGAACCAUGUUGAUAACACGUACGCAUUAUUAUUAUAUUGAAAUUUAUUUAUAUGAUGAACUGAAGUUACACUUGUUUAAUCUCAGUUGUGAUCAGUUUUAAAGUGUAAACCUUGGGAUUCAUCGACCCAACCGAAAUCAAAUGACAAAAACGAAAAAGAAAGAAAUCGAUAUUUUUUUCGAGAACGAAUUGAAAACGAAUUUAAGAAAAACACGAUCACAUCAAUUAGAUUAGAACGAUAUAAAACCACCGGGCCACUUGACGCAAAAAAUAAUGUAAAGUAUUUUGUUUUUCUCCGCGUUGCACGUAGACCACUUGAAAAUACCGAAUUAACAUCAUCUUGAGCGAGGCCAAUGUGUCCGCGUGUAAAACAAAGGUACAAAAAGUGUGAAUAAACCAGUUUCCACGAAAUAGUAACAAUAUUAUCAAAAUUAUGGGCUCAAAAUUUGGACACGAAAAGGCCGCCGACACGGGUGAACAUGAAAUUGGAGCACAGAUUUGUUAUAAACCAAAAGAGAAAGAGUGAAGUGAAAAAAAAAACACAAUGACACAGUAUAUGUUGCUGAUGCGUGAUGCCGCACGCAAAUUCGUGUGUU
Long non-coding RNA from Sitodiplosis mosellana (orange wheat blossom midge), 1240 nucleotides. RefSeq lists it as uncharacterized. Lineage: Eukaryota; Metazoa; Arthropoda; Insecta; Diptera; Cecidomyiidae. The record is from RefSeq and is a predicted model, not a curated record. The transcript has 2 exons.